Molecule: ribosomal RNA, 253 nt
Filed under: uncultured bacterium
Lineage: Bacteria
Description: partial 16S ribosomal RNA
Rfam family: Bacterial small subunit ribosomal RNA
Source: RNAcentral
UACGUAGGGGGCAAGCGUUGUCCGGAUUCAUUGGGCGUAAAGAGCGUGUAGGCGGCCAGGUAGGUCGGUUGUGAAAACUGGAGGCUCAACCUUCAGAGGUCGACCGAAACCAUCUGGCUAGAGUCCGGGAGAGGAGAGUGGAAUUCCUGGUGUAGCGGUGAAAUGCGCAGAUAUCAGGAAGAACACCGGUGGUGUAGACGGCUUUCUGGACCGUAACUGACGCUGAGACACGAAAGCGUGGGUAGCAAACAGG